Bufo bufo (common toad) is the source of this 142-nucleotide long non-coding RNA. RefSeq lists it as uncharacterized. Lineage: Eukaryota; Metazoa; Chordata; Amphibia; Anura; Bufonidae. The transcript is spliced from 3 exons. The record is from RefSeq and is a predicted model, not a curated record.
CUUCAGCUGCCAAGUGCACAUGUAACAGAUCUGACAGAUAAAAUACAGUGACAAAUAAACAAAUACACCCAAUCCUAACUAAAUAAACAAAAAGAAAAACUGAUAAAAAAAAAAAAAGGACAAACUAACACGCAAUCUGCAA